Molecule: ribosomal RNA, 441 nt
Filed under: uncultured bacterium
Lineage: Bacteria
Description: partial 16S ribosomal RNA
Rfam family: Bacterial small subunit ribosomal RNA
Source: RNAcentral
CCUACGGGAGGCAGCAGUGGGGAAUAUUGCACAAUGGGGGAAACCCUGACGCAGCGACGCCGCGUGAGUGAAGAAGUAUUUCGGUAUGUAAAGCUCUAUCAGCAGGGAAGAAGCAAGACGGUACCUGCCUAAGAAGCCCCGGCUAACUAUGUGCCAGCAGCCGCGGUAAUACGUAGGGGGCAAGCGUUAUCCGGAUUUACUGGGUGUAAAGGGAGCGUAGACGGUAUGGCAAGUCUGAAGUGAAAGCCCAGGGCUUAACCCUGGGACUGCUUUGGAAACUGUUAGACUAGAGUGCUGGAGAGGUAAGUGGAAUUCCUAGUGUAGCGGUGAAAUGCGUAGAUAUUAGGAGGAACACCAGUGGCGAAGGCGACUUACUGGACAGUAACUGACGUUGAGGCUCGAAAGCGUGGGGAGCAAACAGGAUUAGAUACCCUGGUAGUC